This 273-nucleotide ribosomal RNA is filed under the name uncultured prokaryote. RNAcentral describes it as "partial 16S ribosomal RNA". It matches the Rfam family "Bacterial small subunit ribosomal RNA", at positions 524 to 796 of the family's 1533-position model. The record is from RNAcentral.
UACAGAGGGUGCGAGCGUUAAUCGGAAUUACUGGGCGUAAAGCGCACGUAGUCGGCUUGUCAAGUCGGGUGUGAAAUCCCCGGGCUCAACCUGGGAACUGCAUCCGAAACUGACUUGCUAGAGUAUGGGAGAGGGAAGCGGAAUUUCUGGUGUAGCAGUGAAAUGCGUAGAUAUCAGAAGGAACAUCAGUGGCGAAGGCGGCUUCCUGGACCAAUACUGACGAUCAGGUGCGAAAGCGUGGGGAGCAAACAGGAUUAGAAACCCCAGUAGUCC